CAGAAGCUGUUCCUCCUGGGCAAUGAAUUCCAGUUUGGUUUCUUCUCCGUUGGGAAAUAAGGGAAGGUGGCUCCAGACAGGCAGGGAGAGCCAGCUAAACUGACCCCUUAAGAUGGACCCAUCUCCUUGGGGAGUGUGUUGCAGACAGACGCAAAGAAGUCUUGCGACAGGUCAAAGCAGCAGCCUGCCAGGAAAACAGCUAUGACUUGGGAAUAGAGAAACUAUGCCCACAGAUGGGCUAAGAAUUGGCACGGCCACUUUAUAGAUGGGAAGAGAAUUCUGCUCCAGAAACAUUAAUGAUCUGAAUCAUUAAUUAGAUGCAUGAAGAAUACAGAAAAUUGGAGGGAAGUUGGAGCAAAUAAAGAAGCUGACACAACUGGAAAUUUUUGGGAAAAAAAGGUUUGUUGAACCCCAGCGGUGCCUCGGGACUUUGCACUGCGACAGGACCCGGUGGCAAGCUUGCAGCUCCUUCCCUUCUUCACUGCAUUGGUUUCUGUAGCUGUGCUGGGCACCGAGGGCUCCUGGGCACACAGUGGCAUGAACUGGAGGUUAGCUGAAAUCAGCCUUCAGCGGGACCACUCGUAGGAUGGUGAGCCGGCAUAGCUCAGGGCCGACUGCCGGCAAUUGUGUCUUGGAUGUGUGUCUUCGGCACUGUGCUGUCUGCAAGGGAGGAAAGCCGGUGAGUCAGGCCAUCUCUCCCCCUGAACGGGGAAUGCUCAAAGGCUUCUUCAUGGAGACCACUUAAAUCUGUGGUCUGCUGGAGUACCUGCAGAGCCGUGGGUGAGGUCCAGCUGGGGAAGUCCUCCCAUCUCAGGCAUCCAUCCCCUCUGGCUCUCAGGUGCCCACACAGAUGCUCCGUGCUGUGACCAUCCACUGGGGUGCAGGAUGUGCCUGUGAAGCGUGACUUGAAUUUUUGCUGCUCUGAAAAUGGAGAAUAAGCCACCAGUGUAAGCCAGGAGAAACAGGGAAGAUAGUGAUAUUUGAGCAGUCCCAAGGCUGUCCUGGUACAGAAGAGGAGUGCCUUGAAAUAACUUCUGCCAGCAUUGCAGAGCCUGGAGGCAUCUUGGAUCCUGUUUUGCAUGGCAAGGGACACCAAAAAAACGGAUGCCACGGAGGCUGCUGGAGGAAGAGCAUCUGGAGGGGAGGUGAUGAGUGGCCUGAGCUGCAGGACGGGUACUGGGGACCUGGGCUUUGCUGCACCCCUGCUGCGAGAAGGCUUUGAAGCCUCCUCCCUGCUCACUGCACAGGUAUAGCUCCUGCUAGCAUAUCCCAGGAGCAGCAAAAUGGCUCGUGCUUGUGUGGAAGUUGCUGGUUUGAAGAUUUAAGUGAAAGAGGACUGCAUUUUUCCUUGCUUUCCCAACCAGGAGAUUCAUGAGGUAGCCGGCAUUAACUGGGGGAACUGCUGUGUUCUUUUCCUUCCUCCCUUGCAACGUUGAUCCCCAGCACUGUGAGGAUUAGCAAGUGGCCAAAUGCAUCAGGAUGUGACCUUGCUCUGCCAUAAGAUCCCUCCUCACAGGCCUGGGCUGCCUUGGGUAGCAGGCAGCAUCCCCAUGGACCAGACAGUUUUAUAACGUCAAGAAGAAUGGAAAAGCUGCAAGGCAUGCACGUUCAAGAUGCUGUGCUCCUGGAAAGCUUUGGAUGGGCUCCAGGCAGUGUUUGGUGGCAAAGAAAGAUGAAGGUCUUGGAAAGAAAAAAAAAAAUCAGCCAAGCGCUCAUCCUGCAAUAUUCCUGUUCUUGUGAGCUGGGAAUGUCGUUGGAGCAUGGGAAAAAAAUGUGUUCCUGCAACGUCACGUGUCUGGGGGUGGUUACAAGGACAACGUUCUGGUUUUACACUACCACUGCUCUCCUGUUCAGCCCAGUGUGAGGUGGCCACCAGGCUCUCACAGGUGCCUCCUGAUGAGAGCAGGACUUGGAUGGAGAUAUUGACCACGCUUCACACUCCUUGUCUCCUGAAGGCCACAUUUGUCCCCCUCCCCCCUUCCUGGAGAGGAUACCAGAGUGGUGGAUACGGCGCCUACAUUUGAAGACGUGGUUCAGGCUGUGCCCUCUUCUCUCCAAGGUGUACCUUGAAGUUGGCUUUCAGCUCAGCGUGAUGUGAUCAGAGAUGACAUUGCAUUGUUCUUGGGACAGGAUUUGCCAUUUGCUCCAGUGUCUCCCAGCUGCCUGUGGGACUCCUUGGAAGGAAAGGCCGUGCUUCCUACCUUAUGGUAUGGACCUGUGAAUACCCGUGUACCUUGGUUUAAGAGUAAGCGCCUGCAGCUUACCCCUCUUCUAUGGCAGAGCUGUAUCCUGCAUGGCAGGAGCAUCGUGGACCAGGCGUCUGGGUUGCCUGGUUCCCUGCCAGGCACGCAUGAAAGAUUAGUUACUUGGUGCGCUGCUUGCAUUUGAUAUGUAGUAGGCUCAACAGUAAGGAAGACUUAGAUGUGCUUCAUCCAUCCUGGGCCAGCCCAAGCUGCAGCAGAGUAGUGUGCCAGAGCAAGGAGCGUGCUGGAGGGACUGAUGCUGCUUCUCAGCUCUUCAGGGGAUGGAGAAGCUUAAGAAAAGUGGAAGAAAAAAAUGUCAAAGUUGGACAGGAAAGGCAAAAUGGUAAUUAAUUCUGCAGAAGGAAAAACCCAAAUGUCUGACUGAGUCGUGUUACCCUGGAAGUGGCGGGCUGUGGGAGCUGGAAGCUGCUCGGGCUGUGUGCUUAGCAAGCACACCUGUAUUUCUCGAUGGGUCCUGCACAGGGAACAGUGUGAUUUGACCCAGAGGAGGUGACGAUGCUCAACUGGAGACCCAGAGCAAGGCUGCGGAGACGCAUGGGGGACCGAGGGUAGGGGCUGUGUUUUGACAAACAAAAGGAGCUUUGAUGGCGGCUCGCUAGGACCUGCCCUGUGCCACUGGCAGGAACCGAUGGUCCCAUCCACCUCGUGGCUUCGGCUUUCUGCCUUUCCCACCUCCAUCCAGACCUGCUGAGCUUAUUUCGGAGGCUUCUGAGCAGACCGGCGCACUCCCAAACGCCAUCUCUGAAAUGGCUUCCUUUGGCCAAGCGUGGAAUUAAAUUCAAUUAUUAUUUUUACUGUGAGUAUUUGAAGAGCACGGUGAAGGCAUUCAUGGUGUUUUCCCUCUAUUGCAAAUACAUCAGGAGCAACCCUGCAGCCUGCCUGGCUACCCGUCCUCUCCCCACGGGGUACGUGGGAUCUGGGUCUCCUUCCCUGCCGCAGAGCAGGGGCAAGCAAAGCCCGAGCAGACUUUUGCAGACGCAAUAGUCCUCAGACCUGGGGGGUUACGCUUCAUUCCUCAGCGGAGCCUGGCUGCCGGAAAUAAUCUGCCCGAUGGUCCACUUUAUGGCCGGGCAGACAGGUUGAAAUUCACAGCCACCACUUACCAAAGAAUAAUGAAACAUUUCCUGAGACAGCAAUAAAUAUCUCCUGCCAUGACAACACUUACCAGUGCCUCUUCGAUCCAGGAAAAUGUUUUAAAACUCAGCGAAGUGGGAUUUUUUUAAUGCCUCUCUACUUGCUGGUUGCAGUUGCCCUGGCUGCUCCUGGUCGGGGGUGGAGGGAGCAGCGUGAUAUGGUUUGUGGCUCCCUGGGGAGCUCCAGCUCUGGCCCAAAAGUGGGUGCUGGGGGGUAGGCUCCUUCCUGGACUGGACCUAUGGGCCAGGGAGCUAUGCACCAUCCUCCUCCUCCCAUCUGCGGCCUUCAUCAAAUGCCCCUGAUGCUGAUUAAAACAACAUGAGUGAGUAGCUUAUCGGUUACAAGGGAUCAAUAACCCCUGGCUUGUAUUCUUCGGUCUAAGAAAGUCUGAAUAAUGUGGGGCAGGGGGGGAUCCGAAUAGUCAUCACCGAUCGAUAGCUCUCCCCAUGUGAGCAUGUGGUGGGUCAGUGGGUGAGGGUCAUUUAUCAAUGCCACCCUCUCUCUCCCCGGCAUUGCCCCACGUCAUCCUCAAAGGCUGCAAUUAAUUCGUCCCUGUAACGCAGAGCAAAGCAGCGCCUGCUUGCUCACCUCCGCUCCUGCCCGUGCUGCCUCCAAGCAGCAUCACAUCAAAUUAGCGGCGCUUAAUGAAAAACAAACGAGCCGGACCGACGCAUGCACGUGCUUACGUGGCUGCCCGGGUGUCGAGGAAGCAAAGCUGCCUUUGAAAGAUGUCCUUGAGUCAGGAGGAUGACCGGGAGGAAAACUCCUUCUCCCCAGGCUGAUGGAAAAGGGAGAGGUUUGCAGCCACUGUACCCUACCAAGGGCCUUCGUUCUGGUCCAGAGCAGCUAUUUCCCACCGCGAGGAGAGGCUGACGGCAUGGUUCAUGCCAGGGUCUGCUGGAAAUAACGCUGCACGCUCAACACAGCUGGCUUGGCUGCUUUGGUCCAGGACGUUUUCCAGCAGUGGGGGUGCACAGCGUGGCUUCUUGGUGUCAGGCUGAUGCAGAUUGCAAAUAAAAGCCACCAACUAGCAAAAAUUAUCUCUGAGGGCCUCUGGGCUAUAACAUGAGGCUCAGGGGAGCCCAGCCAAAUGUGGUCGAGUCCUCUUUAGGCAGUGGCAGGGCUGACUAUAGUGGAUGCAAGCCAGUCUGCACUGGUUUCCUCAAAGGGCUGGGUUCCCUCCAGUCCACAAAGACAGAAUUGCCACGACCAGGAGAAAGCUCCAUCAGCACCCGCCAUGCCGGGGACUCAUCCUGCCUCUCCCAAUGCUGAGGAUAACCAGCCAGGAGCCAAAACACAGGGGCUAGACCCGAUGCCCCUGUGCACAGGGCAAGGGCAAAACCAGGAGGAGAUGGGGAUAUACCAGGCUGGUCAGGGUCAGCACAGGGCUGGGGGGGUUUUGCUACCUCUGAGCUGGGUGAGAGCCUAGGGAGGGCUGUCCUGAGAAGAAAUGCUCUUAGCAGCCCUGGCCACAGAGAGAAAAGGAGGUGUUUGGUAGCAGAAGAAAAGCUGAUGGGGGAAAAAGCAUGGGGAAGCGAUAGAUUUUUAAAAACCCAGCCAGUGAAUCAGUCUCAUUGCUGUGGUCACUUUAAAACGGAUCAGCAGAAAUAAAGUGAGUUUAAAUCUGUAGUGGCUUGGGGAAGCCUGAGCAGUAAAACGAAGCCAGCAG
Harpia harpyja (harpy eagle) is the source of this 5067-nucleotide long non-coding RNA. RefSeq lists it as uncharacterized. The transcript is spliced from 14 exons. Lineage: Eukaryota; Metazoa; Chordata; Aves; Accipitriformes; Accipitridae. The record is from RefSeq and is a predicted model, not a curated record.